UUAAGCAAGAAAGGGCGCAGGGUGGAUGCCUUGGCACUGAGAGCCGAAGAAAGACGUGAUAAGCUGCGAUAAGCAGCGGUGAGGAGCAAAUAUCCGAUGACCCGCUGAUUUCUGAAUGGGGAAACCCGGCUGAGCAACCCUCAGUCACCAUAUGCUGAAUACAUAGGUAUAUGGAGGGAACCCGCUGAACUGAAACAUCUAAGUAGGCGGAGGAAGAGAAAGAAACAUCGAUUCUGUGAGUAGCGGCGAGCGAAAACGGAAGAGCCUAAACCGGAGCGCGUGCGUUCCGGGGUUCGGACUGCGACAUGUGAGCAAUAGGAUAACAGAACAGUCUGGGAAGUCAGACCAGAGAGGGUGAAAGUCCCGUAUGUGAAAUCCGAGUUGCAGCUAGCAGGAUCCAGAGUACCACGAGACACGAGAAACCUUGUGGGAAGGCAGGGAGACCACUCCCUAAGGCUAAAUACUACUCAGUGACCGAUAGCGCAUAGUACUGUGAAGGAAAGGUGAAAAGGACCCCGGGAGGGGAGUGAAAGAGAACCUGAAACCCUGUGUCUACAAGCUGUGGAAGCACUUUAUAUGUGCGACCGCGUACUUUUUGUAGAACGGUCCGGCGAGUUACGCUUACUGGCAAGGUUAAGCACUUCAGGUGUGGAGCCGUAGGGAAACCAAGUCUUAAGAGGGCCAGAGUCAGUAGGAGUAGACCCGAAACCGGGUGAUCUAUCCAUGUCCAGGUUGAAGCUGCCGUAAGAGGUAGUGGAGGACCGAACCCACAUCCGUUGAAAAGGGUGGGGAUGAGGUGUGGAUAGGGGAGAAAUUCCAAUCGAACCCGGAGAUAGCUGGUUCUCCUCGAAAUAGCUUUAGGGCUAGCCUCAUAUUAGUCUUGCGGAGGUAGAGCACUGAAUAUCCUAGGGGGCGUCAAAGCUUACCGAAGAUUAUCAAACUCCGAAUGCCGUAAAGAUGAUGUAUGGGAGUCAGACUGCACGAGAUAAGUUGGGUAGUCAAAAGGGAAAGAGCCCAGACCUACAGCUAAGGUCCCAAAGUACGUGUUAAGUGGAAAAGGAUGUGGGAUUUCGAAGACAACUAGGAUGUUGGCUCAGAAGCAGCCAUACAUUCAAAGAGUGCGUAAUAGCUCACUAGUCGAGAGGUCCUGCGCCGAAAAUGUCCGGGGCUGAAACACGACACCGAAGCUUAGGAAUCGAAAGAUUGGUAGAGGAGCAUUGAAUACGGAACGAAGCAGUACCGGAAGGAGCUGUGGACUGUAUUGAAGAGAGAAUGCCGGAAUGAGUAGCGAGAUUUAAGUGAGAAUCUUAAAGGCCGAAUAUCUAAGGUUUCCAGGGUAAAGCUGAUCUUCCCUGGGUAAGUCGGGGCCUAAGGCGAGGACGAAAGUCGUAGUCGAUGGAUAACAGGUUGAAAUUCCUGUACCGCAUAUAUUCAGAAAUGUGGGGACACAGAUGGAGAGUACAGCCCGGGAAUGGAUAGACCGGGGCAAGCGAGGUAGGAGAAUGGCAGGCAAAUCCACCAUUCAAUCUGAAGACGUGACGCGUACCGAACAAGAGUAGGGAAGUGUAUGAGCCAGCUGUCGAGAAAAGCCGCUAUUGUGAUAUAUGCGCCCGUACCGUAAACCGACACAGGUGGAUGAGGAGAGAAUCCUAAGGCCGGCGGGAGAAGUGUUGUUAAGGAACUCGGCAAAAUGACUCCGUAACUUCGGGAGAAGGAGUGCCACAGAGAUGUGGCCGCAGAGAAAUGGCCCAAGCAACUGUUUAGCAAAAACACAGGUCUAUGCAAAACCGAAAGGUGAGGUAUAUGGGCUGACGCCUGCCCGGUGCUGGAAGGUUAAGAGGAGAGGUUAGAGCAAUCGAAGCUUUGAAUUUAAGCCCCAGUAAACGGCGGCCGUAACUAUAACGGUCCUAAGGUAGCGAAAUUCCUUGUCGGG
This 1933-nucleotide ribosomal RNA is filed under the name human gut metagenome. RNAcentral's name for it is "bacterial LSU rRNA". It matches the Rfam family "Bacterial large subunit ribosomal RNA", at positions 3 to 1976 of the family's 2925-position model. The record is from RNAcentral.